ACGCACAUUGCGGCCCUAGG
Molecule: ribosomal RNA, 20 nt
Filed under: Frankliniella insularis
Lineage: Eukaryota; Metazoa; Arthropoda; Insecta; Thysanoptera; Thripidae
Description: partial 5.8S ribosomal RNA
Source: RNAcentral